This 104-nucleotide non-coding RNA is filed under the name Pteridomonas danica. The record is from RNAcentral. Lineage: Eukaryota; Dictyochophyceae; Pedinellales.
AAAGUUAUGAGUUUAGUUCAGAUAAUUUUGAGCAUCGACCAAAAUGGUCAUUAAUUAUCAAUCAAAAUCAUGAAGGUAGUAGUGAUAGUAGUAGUGACAGUAGU